GGCCGCCUGGCGAAAUGGCAUCGCGUCUGACUACGACGACGACGGAAUCAGGAGAUUGCAGGUUCGACCCCUGCGGUGGUCA
Non-coding RNA from Suillus lakei, 82 nucleotides. The record is from the annotation of a GenBank genome assembly. NCBI's taxonomy places the organism in Eukaryota, Fungi, Basidiomycota, Agaricomycetes, Boletales, Suillaceae.